This 469-nucleotide ribosomal RNA is filed under the name uncultured bacterium. RNAcentral's name for it is "partial 16S ribosomal RNA". It matches the Rfam family "Bacterial small subunit ribosomal RNA", at positions 28 to 508 of the family's 1533-position model. The record is from RNAcentral.
GACGAACGCUGGCGGCGUGCUUAACACAUGCAAGUCGAACGGAAAGGCCCUGCUUUUGCGGGGUGCUCGAGUGGCGAACGGGUGAGUAACACGUGAGUAACCUGCCCUUGACUUUGGGAUAACUUCAGGAAACUGGGGCUAAUACCGGAUAGGAGCUCCUGCUGCAUGGUGGGGGUUGGAAAGUUUCGGCGGUUGGGGAUGGACUCGCGGCUUAUCAGCUUGUUGGUGGGGUAGUGGCUUACCAAGGCUUUGACGGGUAGCCGGCCUGAGAGGGUGACCGGCCACAUUGGGACUGAGAUACGGCCCAGACUCCUACGGGAGGCAGCAGUGGGGAAUAUUGCACAAUGGGCGGAAGCCUGAUGCAGCAACGCCGCGUGCGGGAUGACGGCCUUCGGGUUGUAAACCGCUUUCGCCUGUGACGAAGCGUGAGUGACGGUAAUGGGUAAAGAAGCACCGGCUAACUACGUGC